AGGAAACCAGAGCACCCGGUGGAAACCCCCGAGGCACGGGGAGAACAUGCAAACUCCGCACACACAAGGCGGAGGCGGGAAUCGAACCCCGACCCUGUGAGGCGAACGUGCUAACCACUAGGCCACCAAGCUGCAUGUAAGUGGAAAGCUAAAGAUACCACAAGGGUGUGUGGUGUGUCAAACUGGAUAUCCCCACCCGUAUGCCUGGAAGUACAGACAACAAAAUGUCACCAUCGGCAGAUUUGAAGCCUGAUGAGACGUUUAAGCCUGACGAGACGUUUAAGCCUGACGAGACAUUGAUCUCUUCUGUUUCUUUGUAGGGGGAGAGCUGAAAAACAAAAUCAAGGAAAACAAGUAGUCAGAAAAAUACACUUUAAAAUAAGUUAAUAAACAGGAUUAUUCUUAAACUUCAGGAUAGAUUCAUACAUUUAGUUAUACAUCUACAUUUAGUUUUAGAAAACAUCUGGUGAAAUGUGGACAUUGUUUCACAUUGUGUUAUUUUUGCUCUUCUCAGGUAUUUUACACGGUGAGAUUUUUCCACAAAAUCCUCAGACACAGGACGAGACAGAAACAGGAAUGUUCCAUAAAAGCUUCUUUGUGGAUCCGAGACAAGGAAAAAGCAAUCAUACCGAGGAUUCAGGAGCUAUUAAGUGUUAUAUAUGCAAGAAAAUUGUUAAGGCGAUUAUAAAAAGAGUGAACAAAAGAAUUAAUCAGAAAUGCUGUAUUUUUUUUAGAAGACUGAGGUGGAAACAUGUCCCCUGUAAUUCAGCUUGGAUUUUUGCUCUUAUGUUUAGUAGUUGCUGAUGCAGUUACUCAUGAGCCAAGUCUGAAAAACAAGACAGAGAAGAAAUUGUUGAUCCGCAUUAACAGCUCACCAAGCAAGCGUGAAGAUGUCAAUAUGAAAGGGGCGAAAUGUUUCGUUUGUAAGCGAUUUAUGAUAAAGACGAUGCCUUCAUUCUCCAGAAAUCUACAAAAGAAAUUGAUAGCAGCAUGUGAUAUUUUUGCAGAUUUUCAUUAUAAGUACUGCAUGAAGGAAGCAGAGAAGUUCUACAAAGCUGUGAUGGAUUUUGUGUAUCCUGAAAAAAGCGCAAAACUAGCGUGUAUAAAAAUAAACAUGUGUAAGAAAGCACUCAUGUCCUAACACAUUCAAGGUUUUCUUCUUCCUUCAAGGAACUUUUGUCACCUGUUAUAUAACGGGUAAUAUAAAAACAAACAAACAAACAAACAAACAAAUAAAUAAAUAAGUACACAAAUUCAUCAUUUAGGGAUUGUAUUUUCAAAUUGCAUAUCUGUGUGUAUUUUUUUUUGUUUCCCAAUUUGCUAUUAUAUUUAAUAAACAUGCUUUAUGCCUGAAGCAUUUGUUUGUGUCACGAGUAAAAUUUCACAUGUUAUGAGGAUUGUUCAAGUUUUAUUUUCACAUAGCUACUCUAAUAUAUGACCUCCAUUUUAGUUCCCUGAUUCCAUGAUUACUAAUCACACACACACACACACACACACACACACACACACACACACACACGCUCAUACGCCUUCCAUUCCCCAAAUUAAUUAUUUAUUUAUUCAUAUUAUUAUUUAUUUACUUAUUUAUUUACUUGUUCUGUUUCCAUUUUGUGCAUUUCAUAUUUAGUAGUUAAUCUCAGUACAAGUGGAACUUUAAAUCAAGCAUGAAUAAAAAACUAACUAACUAACUAACUAACUAACUAACUAACUAACUAACUAACUAACUAAAUAAAUAAAUAAAUAAAUAAAUAAAUAAAUAAAUACAACAAAUUUAGAUCCCUGUCUAUACUUCUCAUUGUAGAUGUUUUUUGUAUUGUUAUUUCAACUAGUUUGUUUAAUGAUUAGUGCAUUGGUUAACUCUUUGUUGUUUGUAUUUUUACAUUUUUAAUUGCAAGAUUUAUUUAUUAGUUUCUAUGUUUGUCCAAUGCAUAUUUUAUAUUUACCAUUAUAUUUAUCUAUUUAUCUAUUUAUCUAUUUUUUGUUUGUUUGUUUGUUUGUGUUUGUUGUUUUGCACUCCUGAGUGAGCAUCACAAAUAAAUUACAAUGUAGAUGAUUUUAAAAUAAUGUAGAUGUUUUCUGCUGAUUUAGAGAAGAUGUGGCUGGUAGUCAAUAUGCUCCAGAAAGACAGAAAGAGGAAGAUAAAGCAAGAACACAGAGAGAGAGAGAGAGAAAGAGAGAGAGAGAGAGAGAGAGAGAGAGAGAGAGAGAGAGAGAGCGCUUGACAGUAGAGCUUGGGCCAAAUUUUGUCUAGUAGUUUGUUUAAACUAGUUAAUUCAAGCACAAAACAUCAUGACAAACAUGUCCUUAAUUCUGCUGAGUUUCCUGCUUAUGAUCUCAGCGGUUUUUGCUGAAUGUGGUGGAUUUUCAAUUUCAUCACAUGAAGGAAACCCAAAAGUACGUCAAUACUGAGUAUUUCUUCUGUAACAUAUGAACAAAAUAAAAGACAUAGAAAUGUUUUCCCCUGUCCUCCAGAUAGCUACAUUUAGUGUUCCGCCAAAGUGGCAGAAGAACCUAAUACUUUGUUGCACUUGCCAAGAUUAUGUAAGAGUAACAACACCCAAACUUAACCUCAAGCUGCAGCAGAAUAUAAAUAAGUUUUGCAACAUGUUCACCCCACAUGUGAAAAUUAAAUGUUUGAGGUUUGGAGGAAAACUCAAGACAAAGAUUCUCAAGUUCAUUUUCCCUGGAAAAACCACCAGAGAAACCUGUCAGAAAAGAAAGCUGUGUAUGUAUUAAUAAAGGCAAAAAAUAAACAAACAAAAAUCUUGACAUUAAUAUAUAGGCAAAUGUGAUUAUCUAAUAUCUCUACAGUCUGUUUAUCCAAUAAAUGGGAAAUGUGCUAAAUUAUUUGCAAUCCUUACCUUAAAAACUAGUAGUAUAAAUGUCUAAAAAUGUUUUUCAAAUGUUCCUUGGAAUUGCAUGUUUAUAAUUCAUUUAAAAUUGGAUAUAUUUAAUUGAUCAUUUCAAAUGACUUUUGUUUCUUUUUUAAUUUUGAGCUCAAUCUUUUGUUGGUCAUUUUGAUAACUGUGAUUUCCCUGAUUUUGUUUAUACUUGUAUUGCAUUACAGACCAUAAAUGUAUAUAAUGUAAUGUAUUGCAAAUAGAC
Molecule: long non-coding RNA, 3105 nt
Organism: Tachysurus fulvidraco (yellow catfish)
Lineage: Eukaryota; Metazoa; Chordata; Actinopteri; Siluriformes; Bagridae
Exons: 10
Source: RefSeq, a predicted model, not a curated record